GGCGGUGCUUUAUAUCCCUCUAGAGGAGCCUGUUCUAUAAUCGAUAAACCCCGUUAAACCUUACCAAUUCUUGCUAAUUCAGUCUAUAUACCGCCAUCUUCAGCAAACCCUAAAAAGGAAUAAAAGUAAGCACAAUAAUAGUACAUAAAAACGUUAGGUCAAGGUGUAACCUAUGAAUUGGAAAGAAAUGGGCUACAUUUUCUAUGUUAAGAAAAUCCUAUACGAAAGUUAUUAUGAAACUAAUAACCAAAGGAGGAUUUAGUAGUAAACUAAGAAUAGAGUGCUUAGUUGAACUAGGCCAUGAAGCACGCACACACCGCCCGUCACCCUC
RNAcentral lists this ribosomal RNA (331 nucleotides) under Tetracerus quadricornis (four-horned antelope). RNAcentral's name for it is "partial 12S ribosomal RNA". It matches the Rfam family "Bacterial small subunit ribosomal RNA", at positions 912 to 1404 of the family's 1533-position model. The record is from RNAcentral. Lineage: Eukaryota; Metazoa; Chordata; Mammalia; Artiodactyla; Bovidae.